RNAcentral lists this ribosomal RNA (424 nucleotides) under uncultured prokaryote. RNAcentral's name for it is "bacterial SSU rRNA". It matches the Rfam family "Bacterial small subunit ribosomal RNA", at positions 355 to 796 of the family's 1533-position model. The record is from RNAcentral.
UGGGGAAUAUUGGACAAUGGGCGCAAGCCUGAUCCAGCCAUGCCGCGUGAGUGAUGAAGGCCCUAGGGUUGUAAAGCUCUUUCAGUGGUGACGAUAAUGACGGUAACCACACAAGAAGCCCCGGCUAACUUCGUGCCAGCAGCCGCGGUAAUACGAAGGGGGCUAGCGUUGUUCGGAAUUACUGGGCGUAAAGCGCGCGUAGGCGGAUUGUUCAGUGAGGGGUGAAAUCCCAAGGCUCAACCUUGGAACUGCCUUUCAUACUGGCAAUCUUGAGUUCGAGAGAGGUGAGUGGAAUUGCGAGUGUAGAGGUGAAAUUCGUAGAUAUUCGCAGGAACACCGGUGGCGAAGGCGGCUCACUGGCUCGAGACUGACGCUGAGGUGCGAAAGCGUGGGGAGCAAACAGGAUUAGAUACCCCCGUAGUCC